GGAGCCGUAGCGAAAGCGAGUUUUAACUGAGCGUUCAGUUACUUGACGUAGACCCGAAACCGGGCGACCUACCCAUGAGCAGGAUGAAGCGAAAGUAAAAUUUCGUGGAGGUCCGAACCCACGAGCGUUGAAAAGCUCGGGGAUGACUUGUGGGUAGCGGUGAAAUUCCAAUCGAGCCCGGAGAUAGCUGGUUCUCCCCGAAAUAGCUUUAGGGCUAGCCUCAAGGUGAGAGAUACGGAGGUAGAGCACUGAAUGUCCUAGGGGGUAUUGCACCUACCGAAGACUAUCAAACUCCGAAUGCCGUCAUCUUAUACUUGGGAGUCAGACUGUGGGUGAUAAGAUUCAUAGUCGAAAGGGCAACAGCCCAGAUCGUCAGCUAAGGUCCCUAAAUGUAAGUUAAGUGGUAAAGGAUGUGGGAUUGCACAGACAACCAGGAUGUUGGCUUAGAAGCAGCCACUCAUUCAAAGAGUGCGUAAUAGCUCACUGGUCGAGUGAUCCUGCGCCGAAGAUUUCCGGGGCUAAAACUUACUACCGAAGCUACGGCAUCAGUAAUGAUGGGUAGGGGAGCUUCCCAUACGGGU
This 581-nucleotide ribosomal RNA is filed under the name Clostridioides difficile. Its description in RNAcentral is "bacterial LSU rRNA". It matches the Rfam family "Bacterial large subunit ribosomal RNA", at positions 662 to 1250 of the family's 2925-position model. The record is from RNAcentral. Lineage: Bacteria; Bacillati; Bacillota; Clostridia; Peptostreptococcales; Peptostreptococcaceae.